UUUCCGUAGGUGAACCUGCGGAAGGAUCAUUAAAUAGUACCACAGAUUACAUAUGCAAAUAUGACAAUCUACUACUAUAUACCAUUCCGAGUACUCUUUUUCCAUGUUGCUUCCGCGAGGCAGUCACUUCAAGUGGCCGUUUGCUCCGGAUCUCCCUUCUUGGAGAGCCGGCUGUGGGCGAGAUUUCCUUGCGAAAGGUCAAUUACAAAUCCAAUUAUGUUUUUAUUUUGUGUCUGAAUAGAUUUUUUUUUUUCUUUCUUUUUUUAAUUAAUAAAUACAAAAAAAAUAAAAUAAAAUACAAAACUUUCAACAACGGAUCUCUUGGUUCUC
Molecule: unclassified non-coding RNA, 330 nt
Filed under: plant metagenome
Description: partial contains small subunit ribosomal RNA, internal transcribed spacer 1, and 5.8S ribosomal RNA
Source: RNAcentral